GGGGGUAUAGCUCAGUGAUAGAGCAUGUGCUUGGCAUGUACGAGGUCCUGGGUUCAAUCCUCAGUGCUUCAA
This 72-nucleotide transfer RNA is filed under the name Camelus bactrianus (Bactrian camel). It matches the Rfam family "tRNA". From Rfam's summary of the family: Transfer RNA (tRNA) molecules are approximately 80 nucleotides in length. The record is from Rfam by way of RNAcentral. RNAcentral also lists the same sequence under 2 other names. Lineage: Eukaryota; Metazoa; Chordata; Mammalia; Artiodactyla; Camelidae.